AAAGAUUUCAACAAAAAUCUAUUAAGUUACAUGAAGAAUAUACAGGCAUUUUUGUGUUAUUUUAUAAGUUACACAUAAUACUAUCAUUUUGUAUAUAUAAAUAUUUUAUAAUAAAAAUAGAAGGCAUUUCUUUGUGUCAAAAUGUUAAGAGAAUCUUAAAAAUGGAAAACUAAUCAAAGGAAGAAACUUUGCAACCUUGGAGGCCAUCUAGUGCCCAAAUCUGAGAAUUACAGUUAAUGCCCAAUUUACAUGAUCUACUUAUAAUUUCACGGCCUAAAAAAAUAAACAGAAAAAAGAAAUUUACAGCAAAAUAAAGUAGAAUAGCAUAAUCCCAAAUUUUUUAAGUAAAAUUGUAUGUUUUUACAUUGAAUAUUUAAAAUUCACCCUCUCUUGGAAGGAUUACCCCAAAGAAUACGAUUCUAAAGUUUAAUUUUUGGGAGAUUUAUUUUAUUCUGCUUUAUAAUUAUUUGUGUAUACAGCUUAUCUAUCCCACAAUAUGUUCAGCUCCUUAUGGGUAAAUCCUUUGCCUUUUUAUCUUUAUAUAUCAUAACCCUUGGCAUUGUACUUGAAAUGCUUUAGAAACUCAUUUUUCGAUUUUAUUACUGGUAAUUUAGGUAGACACUAUUAUUAUCAUUAUUAUUGUUAUUUUUUUGCAGUGAGGGGGAUGGAACCCAGGGUUUUUCACAUGAUAAACAAACACUCUAUCCCUGGGCUAUACCCCCAGUGUUAGGUAGACAUUAUUAAAUUCUUUGAUGAGAUAUUUUACGUAGCUAUAUUUGAAAGCCAAAGAGAGUUUUGAGCGACACUUCAUAGUUUAAUGUAGUAGUCAAAGAAGUAGAUAAAUAGAUUACAUAAAAAUUCAAAAUUAUAAUAGAGCACAUUACAUUUAAAAAACAGUGGAAUAUGUCUGGAGGCUAGAAAAUGUGAAAUUUAACUAGGUUGUCUUAUGGGUACGACUGAUGUUUUAAAGAAACAAAGAUUUAUUAUCAUUUAAAAUACUAGGACUAAGAUGGCCGCGAAUAGAGUGCAUCACACCCUGUGUACCGUGCCACUGCGCAGGUGAAUAAUGAGUUAGAACGACAAAAAACUAUCUUGUUAGGAACUUACAGCAAAAUGGGGGUGCACCGAAACCUAGAGGAAGGAUUUCCAGCACUGAGGUCCGGUAAUUGAGUCUCAAACACGAGCCAACUGUGCGACCAGAGAUCCAGGCUGACUGAUCCGCGAGGCCCACCCCGCGGCUACAGACGGCGGGGCGCCACCGAGAAGCGACCAGCAAGCAGGGAGAAACGUUGCUGCGGAAUCUGUGGAAUCCUGCCUGCUGAGCCCUCACUGAGCCCCGGGCUGAGUUCGGGAUUUCAGAGGGGAAGGAAGCGGUACAGUUCUAUCCCCAACAACGGAAACUCCACCAAGGAAACCAGUGGCCACCAUCUUGGAGAGCUGAAGUAACCACCACCACUCUCCGACAGAUUGCAACAAUAAAACAGGUGUGUGUUACUCAGCUCAUCUCCCAUACAGUGGGGAAUUCGCAUAAAAUCUCUCCUAGGCUUUCCGGGGGAGGGAUUAUCAGAGUGAGCCUGCAUAAAGACUCGAGGAAGACUAGAGACACCUGACCUUCAACUCCCCCUCCCAUCAGCAGCAAAAACAAAACCUGUCUUGCCAGCGCUGGGGGAGGGGCAAGUAGAAAAAAUCAAAACAAUAGAGUGCUGGGGUUCCCAAUAGCCACCCUCCACACCCAACAAACGGCAGUCCCAGAAUACAGUUUGAACUGCCGAGAGGCAUCACUCAGGGGAAACCUGGUCUAGCAGGAGAAACCAGGGUUAGCAGGAGAAACCAGGGGACUAGAGGCCAGGCCCUCGCGACUGGGUGGCUGGAGACCGCACGCCCGCCCGCGACAGUCCACCCGCUGCCCGCGUGACUGGGCGGCUGGAGACCGCACGCCUGCCGGCGACCGG
Molecule: long non-coding RNA, 1952 nt
Filed under: Marmota monax (woodchuck)
Lineage: Eukaryota; Metazoa; Chordata; Mammalia; Rodentia; Sciuridae
Source: RNAcentral